GAUGAACGCUGGCGGCGUGCUUAACACAUGCAAGUCGAACGAUGAAGCCCAGCUUGCUGGGUGGAUUAGUGGCGAACGGGUGAGUAACACGUGAGUAACCUGCCCUUAACUCUGGGAUAAGCCUGGGAAACUGGGUCUAAUACCGGAUAGGAGCGUCCACCGCAUGGUGGGUGUUGGAAAGAUUUAUCGGUUUUGGAUGGACUCGCGGCCUAUCAGCUUGUUGGUGAGGUAAUGGCUCACGAAGGCGACGACGGGUAGCCGGCCUGAGAGGGUGACCGGCCACACUGGGACUGAGACACGGCCCAGACUCCUACGGGAGGCAGCAGUGGGGAAUAUUGCACAAUGGGCGCAAGCCUGAUGCAGCGACGCCGCGUGAGGGAUGACGGCCUUCGGGUUGUAAACCUCUUUCAGUAGGGAAGAAGCGAAAGUGACGGUACCUGCAGAAGAAGCACCGGCUAACUACGUG
RNAcentral lists this ribosomal RNA (466 nucleotides) under uncultured bacterium. RNAcentral describes it as "partial 16S ribosomal RNA". It matches the Rfam family "Bacterial small subunit ribosomal RNA", at positions 28 to 507 of the family's 1533-position model. The record is from RNAcentral.